Molecule: ribosomal RNA, 1872 nt
Filed under: Escherichia coli
Lineage: Bacteria; Pseudomonadati; Pseudomonadota; Gammaproteobacteria; Enterobacterales; Enterobacteriaceae
Description: partial 23S ribosomal RNA
Rfam family: Bacterial large subunit ribosomal RNA
Source: RNAcentral
GGGUUGUGAGGUUAAGCGACUAAGCGUACACGGUGGAUGCCCUGGCAGUCAGAGGCGAUGAAGGACGUGCUAAUCUGCGAUAAGCGUCGGUAAGGUGAUAUGAACCGUUAUAACCGGCGAUUUCCGAAUGGGGAAACCCAGUGUGUUUCGACACACUAUCAUUAACUGAAUCCAUAGGUUAAUGAGGCGAACCGGGGGAACUGAAACAUCUAAGUACCCCGAGGAAAAGAAAUCAACCGAGAUUCCCCCAGUAGCGGCGAGCGAACGGGGAGCAGCCCAGAGCCUGAAUCAGUGUGUGUGUUAGUGGAAGCGUCUGGAAAGGCGCGCGAUACAGGGUGACAGCCCCGUACACAAAAAUGCACAUGCUGUGAGCUCGAUGAGUAGGGCGGGACACGUGGUAUCCUGUCUGAAUAUGGGGGGACCAUCCUCCAAGGCUAAAUACUCCUGACUGACCGAUAGUGAACCAGUACCGUGAGGGAAAGGCGAAAAGAACCCCGGCGAGGGGAGUGAAAAAGAACCUGAAACCGUGUACGUACAAGCAGUGGGAGCACGCUUAGGCGUGUGACUGCGUACCUUUUGUAUAAUGGGUCAGCGACUUAUAUUCUGUAGCAAGGUUAACCGAAUAGGGGAGCCGAAGGGAAACCGAGUCUUAACUGGGCGUUAAGUUGCAGGGUAUAGACCCGAAACCCGGUGAUCUAGCCAUGGGCAGGUUGAAGGUUGGGUAACACUAACUGGAGGACCGAACCGACUAAUGUUGAAAAAUUAGCGGAUGACUUGUGGCUGGGGGUGAAAGGCCAAUCAAACCGGGAGAUAGCUGGUUCUCCCCGAAAGCUAUUUAGGUAGCGCCUCGUGAAUUCAUCUCCGGGGGUAGAGCACUGUUUCGGCAAGGGGGUCAUCCCGACUUACCAACCCGAUGCAAACUGCGAAUACCGGAGAAUGUUAUCACGGGAGACACACGGCGGGUGCUAACGUCCGUCGUGAAGAGGGAAACAACCCAGACCGCCAGCUAAGGUCCCAAAGUCAUGGUUAAGUGGGAAACGAUGUGGGAAGGCCCAGACAGCCAGGAUGUUGGCUUAGAAGCAGCCAUCAUUUAAAGAAAGCGUAAUAGCUCACUGGUCGAGUCGGCCUGCGCGGAAGAUGUAACGGGGCUAAACCAUGCACCGAAGCUGCGGCAGCGACACUAUGUGUUGUUGGGUAGGGGAGCGUUCUGUAAGCCUGUGAAGGUGUACUGUGAGGUAUGCUGGAGGUAUCAGAAGUGCGAAUGCUGACAUAAGUAACGAUAAAGCGGGUGAAAAGCCCGCUCGCCGGAAGACCAAGGGUUCCUGUCCAACGUUAAUCGGGGCAGGGUGAGUCGACCCCUAAGGCGAGGCCGAAAGGCGUAGUCGAUGGGAAACAGGUUAAUAUUCCUGUACUUGGUGUUACUGCGAAGGGGGGACGGAGAAGGCUAUGUUGGCCGGGCGACGGUUGUCCCGGUUUAAGCGUGUAGGCUGGUUUUCCAGGCAAAUCCGGAAAAUCAAGGCUGAGGCGUGAUGACGAGGCACUACGGUGCUGAAGCAACAAAUGCCCUGCUUCCAGGAAAAGCCUCUAAGCAUCAGGUAACAUCAAAUCGUACCCCAAACCGACACAGGUGGUCAGGUAGAGAAUACCAAGGCGCUUGAGAGAACUCGGGUGAAGGAACUAGGCAAAAUGGUGCCGUAACUUCGGGAGAAGGCACGCUGAUAUGUAGGUGAAGUCCCUCGCGGAUGGAGCUGAAAUCAGUCGAAGAUACCAGCUGGCUGCAACUGUUUAUUAAAAACACAGCACUGUGCAAACACGAAAGUGGACGUAUACGGUGUGACGCCUGCCCGGUGCCGGAAGGUUAAUUGAUGGGGU